RNAcentral lists this ribosomal RNA (526 nucleotides) under uncultured bacterium. Its description in RNAcentral is "bacterial SSU rRNA". It matches the Rfam family "Bacterial small subunit ribosomal RNA", at positions 355 to 895 of the family's 1533-position model. The record is from RNAcentral.
UGGGGAAUCUUGCACAAUGGGCGAAAGCCUGAUGCAGCAACGCCGCGUGCGGGAAGACAGCCCUAGGGUUGUAAACCGCUUUCAGCAGGGAAGAAACUGACGGUACCUGCAGAAGAAGAUGCGGCCAACUACGUGCCAGCAGCCGCGGUGACACGUAGGCAUCAAGCGUUAUCCGGAUUUAUUGGGCGUAAAGAGCUCGUAGGCGGUUCGGUAAGUCGGGUGUGAAAACUCUGGGCUCAACCCAGAGAGGCCACUCGAUACUGCUGUGACUAGAGUGCGGUAGGGGAGCGGGGAAUUCCUGGUGUAGCGGUGAAAUGCGCAGAUAUCAGGAGGAACACCAGUGGCGAAGGCGCCGCUCUGGGCCGUAACUGACGCUGAGGAGCGAAAAGCAUGGGUAGCAAACAGGAUUAGAUACCCUGGUAGUCCAUGCCGUAAACGUUGGGCACUAGGUGUGGGUCUCAACCGAACGAGAUCCGCGCCGUCGCUAACGCAUUAAGUGCCCGCCUGGGAGUACGGUCGCAAGAUU